UACGAAGGGGGCUAGCGUUGUUCGGAAUUACUGGGCGUAAAGCGUGCGCAGGCGGCCAUCCAAGUCAGUGGUGAAAGCCCGGAGCUCAACUCCGGAAUUGCCAUUGAAACUGUUUGGCUUGAGGACGAGAGAGGUGAGUGGAAUUCCCAGUGUAGAGGUGAAAUUCGUAGAUAUUGGGAAGAACACCGGUGGCGAAGGCGGCUCACUGGCUCGUUUCUGACGCUCAUGCACGAUAGCGUGGGGAUCAAACAGG
Molecule: ribosomal RNA, 253 nt
Filed under: uncultured bacterium
Lineage: Bacteria
Description: partial 16S ribosomal RNA
Rfam family: Bacterial small subunit ribosomal RNA
Source: RNAcentral